GUCAAUGCAGUUGCUUGUACAACACGUGAAUUGUGCGCGCGUGUAUUAGUUGCCGAUUGAUAUUUAUUACUAACAUUCUUACGUUCGGUAACGUACGUGAUUGCUAUUUGUCAUGUUCAAUGCAAAUCGAAUUAUUGCGUUUUUAUUGUUGGUCUUCGACGCGUUCGCAAGUCGUUCGGUUCUCGGCGGUGUGCGCGUACUCGCCGAUGAGUUUUUGGCAGAAAACAACGCGCGCGCGCGAACUUUUUUGAUUCAAUAAUAUAGAUUUCCGUGAUUUACCGCCUUCUAUGCGAAUAAACUGUUGAUUAACAAUCAACGUCCUGUAUACUUCGAUUUUCAGUCGGUGGUCCGUUCGUUUGCGCUGCACCGAAACAUUGCUACAGAAAUGGAUACCGCGACUGCAGUUCGAACGGUAUUCGUUACAUUGCGUAAUGCGCAAACAAUUCGAUAUAUCCGCGCGAUAAUAACAAUGUGACAGUAGGUACACUUUCCCUCGAUGAAAAUCCGGCAGCUUGCUGUGGGCCAACGGGAUUAACACGAUAUAAGACCGGUACGAAAAAAAAGAGGUAAGAUUAAUACAAGAAAAGCGCCUGAAUUUUCGGUAGGAAGGUAUGCCGAUCGCGUUCAAGUACACGGAAUUGCCUUCCAAUCAAGCCGAACCCGACCGGUUGAAAACUCGGCGAGAUACGUACCUUUGGGUUUCAAAACGAACAGAUAUACACGUGACGUUAUUGAGGCACAAGCACCGCCGACCAGAUAUUAUUUCUUGCUCGGCACUUACCGCGACGUUUCACAAAGGAAAUGUGAUUGUAAGCCCGCGCGUGUAUUAUACGCACAACACGUCCUUCGUGCAAACGGUAUUUAGAUGUGGAGACCACGAGAACCACUUAACCUUAUUGGCGUACGAUAAUAUUGUAUUAAUUGUCGUACGAUAUCUUCAACCCGUCAACGAGUGCCACUUCGUUCGAGAAGAAUGUUAGUGUGUACGAGCGGCAUCUGUCAAAUCCGUUCCGAAUGUCACCAGGUACUCGAGCACACGGGGGACAAAUAAUACUGCUCAGACAGGACUAUACGUUUACGGCGAGCGGCGAGCAAACUCGAACUUGUUGCGUUUUUCCGUUCAAGUGUACAUCUAUCGAUGUACAAGCAUAACAUUUAUUAACAAAUAUCACUCACGCAAUAAACGUAUUUCACUUGUCGCGGUUUAGCAGCCGUACAAUCGUUUUUAUCGUGUUCUUUACGUACGGAUCGAAUUCUUAGUUGGAUUACACUAACUUAUAUCGUUUUCAGAUUCAAAUUAUUGCUCAACUGCAUUGCACUGCAGUUUUUUUUUUCAACCUAACACAAUUAUUUAUAUUGAUUAUUUUCAGUCCCCGUAUUUGCAUACGACAAAUAAAUUAUAAACUUCGUUGUUGGUUGUUGUGUAUCAAAGCGUGGAGUUUUCCCAAGGCUAUGUACCACGCUCAGUAAUAUCUGAGAAUAAUGUUUUUGGCCAUUCCAUUGCAUUUUGUAAUUAAGCAUAUCACAUGACCUAAUUCAUUAAACGCCAUUUGACGAAUGCAGUUACUGUAAUGUACUCGUACGAUUCAACGGUAUCUAUACUACUUAUUAUCAUCCCGGCUGUAAGACGAGAUCACGGGCAUGGGCGUAUUUCCUGUUCUUUAUUUCCCAAGGUAAACAUUCUGAGCAAAAUAUGAUACUUAUUGUGUCAAAUUACUUUAAGUUAGAAAAAAAAAUCAAUGACACC
Molecule: long non-coding RNA, 1747 nt
Organism: Sipha flava (yellow sugarcane aphid)
Lineage: Eukaryota; Metazoa; Arthropoda; Insecta; Hemiptera; Aphididae
Exons: 3
Source: RefSeq, a predicted model, not a curated record